This 261-nucleotide ribosomal RNA is filed under the name uncultured bacterium. RNAcentral describes it as "partial 16S ribosomal RNA". It matches the Rfam family "Bacterial small subunit ribosomal RNA", at positions 793 to 1055 of the family's 1533-position model. The record is from RNAcentral.
GUCCACGCUGUAAACGAUGGAUACUAGGUGUAGGGGUAUUAACUCCCUCUGUGCCGCAGCAAACGCAAUAAGUAUCCCACCUGGGGAGUACGACCGCAAGGUUGAAACUCAAAGGAAUUGACGGGGACCCGCACAAGCAGUGGAGUAUGUGGUUUAAUUCGAAGCAACGCGAAGAACCUUACCAAGGCUUGACAUAAUACUGAAUAUGGUGGAAACAUCAUAGUCCUUGGGACAGUAUUACAGGUGGUGCAUGGUUGUCGU